GAAAUGCGAUAAGUAAUGUGAAUUGCAAAAUUCCGUGAAUCAUUAAAUCUUUGAACGCACCUUGCGCUCUUUGGCAAUCCAGAGAGCAUGUCUGUUUGAGAAUCAGUUUAAAUCUCAUUCCCUUUUCUUUGAGUAAUCAAGAAAGGUUGUAAUGGUUCUGGGUUUUUUAUUUUACAAGUAAAAUUCCUUAAAUAAAAGUUGUCUGGUAUAAAGUAAUAAAUUGUUUAACCGGAAAGCAUGACCAAUGGACUCUUGUUCAUGAUUGCUGAUAAAGGUUUUUCAGUUAACUUUACUCGAUUCAAUAAUAUUAAACACGAAGGCUUUAAAACUCCUUUAAGACUUGAUCUCAAAUCAGACAAGACUACCCGCUGAACUUAA
Molecule: unclassified non-coding RNA, 378 nt
Filed under: uncultured Chytridiomycota
Lineage: Eukaryota; Fungi; Chytridiomycota
Description: sequence contains ITS1
Rfam family: 5.8S ribosomal RNA (bases 1-105)
Source: RNAcentral